GAUUGCUUCUGCAGCCCAUACACUAAAAUUGUAAAGAUACAGAGAAGAUUAGCAUGGCCGCUGUGCAAUGAUGACACACAAAUUCAUGAAGUGUUCCAUAUUUUG
Molecule: small nuclear RNA, 105 nt
Organism: Perognathus longimembris pacificus (Pacific pocket mouse)
Lineage: Eukaryota; Metazoa; Chordata; Mammalia; Rodentia; Heteromyidae
Source: RefSeq, a predicted model, not a curated record